AGGCUUUGAUCCUGGCUCAGAACGAACGCUGGCGGCAGGCCUAACACAUGCAAGUCGAACGGGAUCUUCGGAUCUAGUGGCGGACGGGUGAGUAACGCGUGGGAACGUGCCCUCUGGUUCGGAAUAGCCCCGGGAAACUGGGAGUAAUACCGGAUACGGUCGAGAGACGAAAGAUUUAUCGCCGGAGGAUCGGCCCGCGUUGGAUUAGGUAGUUGGUGGGGUAAUGGCCUACCAAGCCGACGAUCCAUAGCUGGUUUGAGAGGAUGAUCAGCCACACUGGGACUGAGACACGGCCCAGACUCCUACGGGAGGCAGCAGUGGGGAAUCUUAGACAAUGGGGGAAACCCUGAUCUAGCCAUGCCGCGUGAGCGAUGAAGGCCUUAGGGUUGUAAAGCUCUUUCAGUGGGGAAGAUAAUGACGGUACCCUACAGAAGAAGCCCCGGGGUAACCGUU
Molecule: ribosomal RNA, 453 nt
Filed under: uncultured Paracoccaceae bacterium
Lineage: Bacteria; Pseudomonadati; Pseudomonadota; Alphaproteobacteria; Rhodobacterales; Paracoccaceae
Description: bacterial SSU rRNA
Rfam family: Bacterial small subunit ribosomal RNA
Source: RNAcentral